UUAUGAGGUGACAGCGUACCUUUUGUAUAAUGGGUCAGCGACUUAAUCUCAUUAGCAAGCUUAAGCCACAUAGGUGUAGGCGAAGCGAAAGCGAGUCUGAAUAGGGCGAUUUAGUUAAUGGGAUUAGACUCGAAACCGAGUGAUCUAGUCAUGAGCAGGUUGAAAGUGAAGUAAAAUUCACCGGAGGACCGAACCCACUAGCGUUGAAAAGCUACGGGAUGACUUGUGAUUAGGGGUGAAAGGCCAACCAAACUCGGAAAUAGCUAGUUCUCCGCGAAAACUAUUUAGGUAGUGCGUCGUGUGAAUCUUGUCGGGGGUAGAGCACUGAAUGGGCUAGGGGGAAGCAAUUCCUACCAAACCUAAUCAAACUCCGAAUACCGAUAAGUCUGCACGGCAGACAGUCCAUGGGUGCUAAGGUCCUUGGACGAGAGGGAAACAGCCCAGAUCAACAGCUAAGGUCCCCAAAUAAUGAUUAAGUGUGAAAGGGAGUGGGAACUCCAAGACAGCCAGGAGGUUGGCUUAGAAGCAGCCAUCCUUUAAAGAAAGCGUAACAGCUCACUGGUCUAAUUAAGAGAUCCUGCACCGAAAAUGUAACGGGGCUCAAAUCAUUUACCGAAGCUUUGACAAUUACUUUGUAAUUGGGUAGCGGAGCGUUCUGUAAGCCUGUAAAGGUGAUGCGUAAGCAUUGCUGGAGGUAUCAGAAGUGCGAAUGCUGACAUGAGUAACGAUAAGAAAUGUGAAAGACAUUUCCGCCGAAAUCCUAAGGUUUCCUGCGUAAAGCUAAUCUGCGCAGGGUUAGUCGGCCCCUAAGGCGAGGGCGAAAGCCGUAGUCGAUGGGAAGCAGGUUAAUAUUCCUGCACCAGCUGGUAGUGACGGAUGAAGUAAAUUGUAAGUUCUUACUGGAUUGAGCUUGCAGUGAAUUUGUCCCUGGAAAUAGCUCCAGCAUUAGACCGUACCUAAACCGACACAGGUAGGAGGGUAGAGAAUACCAAGGCGCUUGAGAGAACUAUGUUGAAGGAACUCGGCAAAUUACACUUGUAACUUCGGGAUAAAAGUGACCUGCUAUUGGGCAACCAGUAGGAGGUGGCACAGAAGAGGGGGUAGCGACUGUUUACUAAAAACAUAGCACUAUGCAAAGUCGAAAGACGACGUAUAUGGUGUGACGCCUGCCCGGUGCCGGAAGGUUAAUAGGAGGGGUGCAAGCCCUUGAAUCGAAGCCCCGGUGAACGGCGGCCGUAACUAUAACGGUCCUAAGGUAGCGAAAUUCCUUGUCGGGUAAGUUCCGACCUGCACGAAUGGCGUAACGAUUUCCCCACUGUCUCCAACAUAGACUCAGUGAAAUUGAAUUCUCGGUUAAGAUGCCGAGUAACCGUGGUUAGACGGAAAGACCCCGUGCACCUUUACUGCAGCUUUGUAUUGGUAUUAGGGGACAGAUGUGUAGCAUAGGUGGGAGACUUUGAAGGA
RNAcentral lists this ribosomal RNA (1464 nucleotides) under marine metagenome. RNAcentral's name for it is "bacterial LSU rRNA". It matches the Rfam family "Bacterial large subunit ribosomal RNA", at positions 586 to 2164 of the family's 2925-position model. The record is from RNAcentral.